GUGGGGAAUAUUGGACAAUGGGCGAAAGCCUGAUCCAGCCAUGCCGCGUGUGUGAAGAAGGUCUUCGGAUUGUAAAGCACUUUAAGUUGGGAGGAAGGGCAGUAAGUUAAUACCUUGCUGUUUUGACAUUACCGACAGAAUAAGCACCGGCUAACUUCGUGCCAGCAGCCGCGGUAAUACGUAGGGUGCAAGCGUUAAUCGGAAUUACUGGGCGUAAAGCGCGCGUAGGUGGUUUUGUAAGUUGGAGGUGAAAUCCCCGGGCUCAACCUGGGAACUGCAUCCAAAACUGCAUGACUAGAGUACGGUAGAGGGUAGUGGAAUUUCCUGUGUAGCGGUGAAAUGCGUAGAUAUAGGAAGGAACACCAGUGGCGAAGGCGACUACCUGGACUGAUACUGACACUGAGGUGCGAAAGCGUGGGGAGCAAACAGGAUUAGAAACCCCAGUAGUCC
RNAcentral lists this ribosomal RNA (450 nucleotides) under uncultured bacterium. RNAcentral's name for it is "bacterial SSU rRNA". It matches the Rfam family "Bacterial small subunit ribosomal RNA", at positions 354 to 796 of the family's 1533-position model. The record is from RNAcentral.